Acipenser ruthenus (sterlet) is the source of this 554-nucleotide long non-coding RNA. RefSeq lists it as uncharacterized. Lineage: Eukaryota; Metazoa; Chordata; Actinopteri; Acipenseriformes; Acipenseridae. The transcript is spliced from 2 exons. The record is from RefSeq and is a predicted model, not a curated record.
CCAUAGUUGUGUAUGUACCAGGUCCUGUUCCCAUGGUUGUGUAUGUACCAGGUCCUGUUCCCAUGGUUGUGUAUGUACCAGGUCCUGUUCCCAUGGUUGUGUAUGUACCAGGUCCUGUUCCCAUGGUUGUGUAUGUACCAGGUUCUGUUCCCAUGGUUGUGUAUGUACCAGGUCCUGUUCCCAUGGUUGUGUAUGUACCAGGUCCUGUUCCCAUGGUUGUGUAUGUACCAGGUCCUGUUCCCAUGGUUGUGUAUGUACCAGGUCCUGUUCCCAUGGUUGUGUAUGUACCAGGUCCUGUUCCCAUGGUUGUGUAUGUACCAGGUCCUGUUCCCAUGGUUGUGUAUGUACCAGGUCCUGUUCCCAUGGUUGUGUAUGUACCAGGUCCUGUUCCCAUGGUUGUGUAUGUACCAGGUCCUGUUCCCAUGGUUGUGUAUGUACCAGGUCCUGUUCCCAUGGUUGUGUAUGUACCAGGUCCUGUUCCCAUGGUUGUGUAUGUACCAGGUCCUAUUUUCUAUGUGUUGAACACUGUUGUAAUUUUUUUUUUUUUUUUUUUU